This 477-nucleotide ribosomal RNA is filed under the name uncultured bacterium. Its description in RNAcentral is "partial 16S ribosomal RNA". It matches the Rfam family "Bacterial small subunit ribosomal RNA", at positions 28 to 507 of the family's 1533-position model. The record is from RNAcentral.
GAUGAACGCUGGCGGCGUGCCUAAUACAUGCAAGUCGAGCGAACAGAUGAGGAGCUUGCUCCUCUGACGUUAGCGGCGGACGGGUGAGUAACACGUGGAUAACCUACCUAUAAGACUGGGAUAACUUCGGGAAACCGGAGCUAAUACCGGAUAAUAUAUUGAACCGCAUGGUUCAAUAGUGAAAGACGGUUUUGCUGUCACUUAAAGAUGGAUGCGCGGCGCAUUAGCUAGUUGGUAAGGUAACGGCUUACCAAGGCAACGAUGGGUAGCCGACCGGAGAGGGUGACCGGCAACACUGGGACUGAGAAAAGGCCCAGACGCGUACGGGAGGAAGCAGUGGGGAAUAUUGCACAAUGGGCGCAAGCAUGAUGCAGCAAUGUAGGGUGAGGGAUGACGGCCUGCGGGGUGUAAACCUCUUUGAGUAGGGAAGAAGCGAAAGUGACGGUACCUGCAUAAAAAGCACCGGCUAACUACGUG